Molecule: ribosomal RNA, 506 nt
Filed under: uncultured bacterium
Lineage: Bacteria
Description: partial 16S ribosomal RNA
Rfam family: Bacterial small subunit ribosomal RNA
Source: RNAcentral
AGUGAACGCUGGCGGUAGGCCUAACACAUGCAAGUCGAACGGCAGCACAGAGGAGCUUGCUCCUUGGGUGGCGAGUGGCGGACGGGUGAGGAAUACAUCGGAAUCUACUCUGUCGUGGGGGAUAACGUAGGGAAACUUACGCUAAUACCGCAUACGACCUACGGGUGAAAGCAGGGGAUCUUCGGACCUUGCGCGAUUGAAUGAGCCGAUGUCGGAUUAGCUAGUUGGCGGGGUAAAGGCCCACCAAGGCGACGAUCCGUAGCUGGUCUGAGAGGAUGAUCAGCCACACUGGAACUGAGACACGGUCCAGACUCCUACGGGAGGCAGCAGUGGGGAAUAUUGGACAAUGGGCGCAAGCCUGAUCCAGCUAUACCGCGUGGGUGAAGAAGGCCUUCGGGUUGUAAAGCCCUUUUGUUGGGAAAGAAAUCCAGCUGGCUAAUACCCGGUUGGGAUGACGGUACCCAAAGAAUAAGCACCGGCUAACUUCGUGCCAGCCGCCGCAGUAA